UGAUGUCCAAACUCUAUUCCUAUAUUUGGAAAAUUCUGCACUUUAUAAAUCUCAUUGGGAAGCCCUGCCUACCUCCAGCCCUGGAAGCUCAGUUUCCUAAUCUUCCUUGCAGUGAGGACACAAGCCCCUGAGCUACGCUCCACUAAUGAUGAGAAAACUGAGCUCAAAGAGAUUACUUCAUUUUCCCAAGGACACAUGAGAGUUCACAGGGCUUGAGAUCUAAGGAACCAUACUCAAGGAGUUUCACUUAAGGAAUGACACCUGACAAGCCAAAGCCUCACCUGGAUCUGAUUAAGUUGACAUGU
Aethalodelphis obliquidens (Pacific white-sided dolphin) is the source of this 305-nucleotide long non-coding RNA. RefSeq lists it as uncharacterized. NCBI's taxonomy places the organism in Eukaryota, Metazoa, Chordata, Mammalia, Artiodactyla, Delphinidae. The transcript has 3 exons. The record is from RefSeq and is a predicted model, not a curated record.